CCGGCCACAAGCGGAGGAGCAUGUGGUUUAAUUCGAUGAUACGCGAGGAACCUACCUGGGCUCGAACGUAAGAUGACUGUAGGUGAAAGCUUACAUCUCUUCGGAGCAUUUUACGAGGUGCUGCAUGGUUGUCGUCAGCUCGUGCCGUGAGGUGUCGGGUUAAGUCCCAUAACGAGCGCAACCCCUACCUUUAGUUGCCAUCAGGUUAAGCUGGGGACUCUAAAGGAACUGCCUACGCAAGUAGUGAGGAAGGCGGGGAUGACGUCAAAUCAGCACGGCCCUUACGUCCAGGGCUACACACGUGCUACAAUGGCCGAUACAGAGGGCAGCUACCUGGUGACAGGAUGCAAAUCUCCAAAGUCGGUCUCAGUUCGGAUCGGAGUCUGCAACCCGACUCCGUGAAGUUGGAUUCGCUAGUAAUCGCGCAUCAGCCAUGGCGCGGUGAAUACGUUCCCGGGCCUU
This 462-nucleotide ribosomal RNA is filed under the name uncultured Sphingobacteriales bacterium. RNAcentral's name for it is "bacterial SSU rRNA". It matches the Rfam family "Bacterial small subunit ribosomal RNA", at positions 921 to 1382 of the family's 1533-position model. Lineage: Bacteria; Pseudomonadati; Bacteroidota; Sphingobacteriia; Sphingobacteriales. The record is from RNAcentral.